RNAcentral lists this microRNA precursor (205 nucleotides) under Oryza barthii. RNAcentral's name for it is "MIR812 microRNA precursor family". It matches the Rfam family "MIR812 microRNA precursor family". Lineage: Eukaryota; Viridiplantae; Streptophyta; Magnoliopsida; Poales; Poaceae. The record is from Rfam by way of RNAcentral.
AAAAAGGCAAACCCUGGGUUUCCGUGUCCAACUUUGACUGUCCGUUUUAUAUGAAAUUUUUUUAUAAUUCAUAUUUUUAUUGUUGUUAGAUGAUAAAACAUGAUUAAUAUUUUAUGCAUGACUUGUCUUUUUAAUUUUUUUCAUAAUUUUUUCAAAUAAGACAGACAUUCAAACGUUAGACACGGAAAUCAGGGUUUUUCUUUUU